GACGAACGCUGGCGGCGUGCCUAAUACAUGCAAGUUGAGCGCUGAAGGUUGGUACUUGUACCAACUGGAUGAGCAGCGAACGGGUGAGUAACGCGUGGGGAAUCUGCCUUUGAGCGGGGGACAACAUUUGGAAACGAAUGCUAAUACCGCAUAAAAACUUUAAACACAAGUUUUAAGUUUGAAAGAUGCAAUUGCAUCACUCAAAGAUGAUCCCGCGUUGUAUUAGCUAGUUGGUGAGGUAAAGGCUCACCAAGGCGAUGAUACAUAGCCGACCUGAGAGGAUGAUCGGCCACAUUGGGCCUGAGACACGGCCCAAACUCCUACGGGAGGCAGCAGUAGGGAAUCUUCGGCAAUGGACGAAAGUCUGACCGAGCAACGCCGCGUGAGUGAAGAAGGUUUUCGGAUCGUAAAACUCUGUUGGUAGAGAAGAACGUUGGUGAGAGUGGAAAGCUCAUCAAGUGACGGUAACUACCCAGAAAGGGACGGCUAACUACGUG
RNAcentral lists this ribosomal RNA (497 nucleotides) under uncultured bacterium. RNAcentral describes it as "partial 16S ribosomal RNA". It matches the Rfam family "Bacterial small subunit ribosomal RNA", at positions 28 to 507 of the family's 1533-position model. The record is from RNAcentral.